CCUACGGGGUGCAGCAGUGGGGAAUAUUGGGCAAUGGGCGCAAGCCUGACCCAGCAACGCCGCGUGAAGGAAGAAGGCUUUCGGGUUGUACACUUCUUUUCUCAGGGACGAAGCAAGUGACGGUACCUGCGGAAUAAGCCACGGCUAACUACGUGCCAGCAGCCGCGGUAAUACGUAGGUGGCAAGCGUUAUCCGGAUUUACUGGGUGUAAAGGGCGUGUAGGCGGGGACGCAAGUCAGAUGUGAAACCCACGGGCUCAAACUGUGGCCUGCAUUUGAAACUGUGUUUCUUGAGUACUGGAGAGGCAGACGGAAUUCCUAGUGUAGCGGUGAAAUGCGUAGAUAUUAGGAGGAACACCAGUGGCGAAGGCGGUCUGCUGGACAGCAACUGACGCUGAGGCGCGAAAGCGUGGGGAGCAAACAGGAUUAGAUACCCUUGUAGUC
RNAcentral lists this ribosomal RNA (443 nucleotides) under uncultured bacterium. RNAcentral's name for it is "partial 16S ribosomal RNA". It matches the Rfam family "Bacterial small subunit ribosomal RNA", at positions 338 to 795 of the family's 1533-position model. The record is from RNAcentral.